UUUGCAUAUUAGGGUUUAUUAUAUAGGAUGUUUAGAUCCUUCCUAUCUCAUUUUCAAGUGAAAGUUAAACUAACAGCAUCUCAAUCUGUUUCAGCCUCUCUCCAAUGAUAAAACUCUUAAGUGUCAGGUUAUCUGCAGAAUACAAACUUUUUAAACAAAGAUGGGAGAACCUUCAGCCCAAGACCAUAAAACAAAUGCAGCCUUCCAGUCUUCAACAGGAUCAAGCAGUUUAAUAAGAAAAGUACACCCUUAGCAGAGGAGGCUCUAAAAUUUUCUCAAAACCACCUCUUGAAGCUUUCACAGCACUAAAACGGGACCUCUACUGCCAAGUUUGAGUCAGGGAGCAACUGGCUCCUUGGUGAGAAAUGGCUGGAAGACAGCCUUAACUUUCAGAAAUAACUUUAACUCUAUCAUCUCAAUAGCCCACACCACUCAUUAUCUUUGAUUAGUAAGCUCAGUAUUUGUGACCCUCAAAAUUUUGCCCUUGAAUAAAAGCCCCACACCCUUGACAAUGUUUACCUCCCUUCAUUGAGCUAGUAGUCAAAACCAUAUACUCCCUUCUGCACGCUUUGUGACAUACCACUAAAACCUCCAUCCAUCACGACCCAUCAUUUUGCACGAUCCAGUUCAAACAGCCCAAUCUGCUCUCCCCAAACGGCCUUAUUAACCUGUUGUUCUCUGGUGAGGCUGAAGGUAACAGCUCUAGUUCUCACCCAUGACCUAACCUUACACGAUUAAGGCAUCAAAUGAAGAGAAGCUUCCUGCAGCCAGCCUCCAAGUGCUCUUACAAUCCCCCCCUUGCUUUUCCCAAAGGGUGUGAUCUGCUCAUCCAGUCAGCUAAUCAUCGACAAGCAGUGCUCUCACCCACUGUGGUCUCUGAAUACCCGUUUUCUCAAGAACCAAAGCUCCUUGGAGGAAUGGAUCAAUCCAGGUCUGAGAAAAUGAAGAUGCUUGACAUCAAAGACUACUGGAGUCCGUGAUGGAACUUUCCAGUGAGGCAGUUUACCUUCUACUGAGCCUCCGUUAAUAAAAGUAGAGGGAAGUUGUAAGGACAGACUGUCCUGGAAAGAAGUGAUCAAUGAAGAAAACUACAACCUGAAAUAAAUGAACUGACACCUGGAA
Myotis lucifugus (little brown bat) is the source of this 1122-nucleotide long non-coding RNA. RefSeq lists it as uncharacterized. The record is from RefSeq and is a predicted model, not a curated record. NCBI's taxonomy places the organism in Eukaryota, Metazoa, Chordata, Mammalia, Chiroptera, Vespertilionidae. The transcript has 2 exons.